AGUAGUUUGAUCCUGGCUCAGAGCGAACGCUGGCGGCAGGCUUAACACAUGCAAGUCGAGCGGGCGUAGCAAUACGUCAGCGGCAGACGGGUGAGUAACGCGUGGGAACGUACCUUUUGGUUCGGAACAACACAGGGAAACUUGUGCUAAUACCGGAUAAGCCCUUACGGGGAAAGAUUUAUCGCCGAAAGAUCGGCCCGCGUCUGAUUAGCUAGUUGGUGAGGUAACGGCUCACCAAGGCGACGAUCAGUAGCUGGUCUGAGAGGAUGAUCAGCCACAUUGGGACUGAGACACGGCCCAAACUCCUACGGGAGGCAGCAGUGGGGAAUAUUGGACAAUGGGCGCAAGCCUGAUCCAGCCAUGCCGCGUGAGUGAUGAAGGCCCUAGGGUUGUAAAGCUCUUUUGUGCGGGAAGAUAAUGACGGUACCGCAAGAAUAAGCCCCGGCUAACUUCGUG
Molecule: ribosomal RNA, 456 nt
Filed under: uncultured bacterium
Lineage: Bacteria
Description: bacterial SSU rRNA
Rfam family: Bacterial small subunit ribosomal RNA
Source: RNAcentral